UACGGAGGGGGCUAGCGUUGUUCGGAAAUACUGGGCGUAAAGCGUACGUAGGCGGUUUGGUAAGUCAGGGGUGAAAUCCCAGAGCUCAACUCUGGAACUGCCCUUGAAACUGCUGAACUAGAAUCUUGGAGAGGUCAGUGGAAUUCCGAGUGUAGAGGUGAAAUUCGUAGAUAUUCGGAAGAACACCAGUGGCGAAGGCGACUGACUGGACAAGUAUUGACGCUGAGGUACGAAAGCGUGGGGAGCAAAC
Molecule: ribosomal RNA, 250 nt
Filed under: uncultured bacterium
Lineage: Bacteria
Description: partial 16S ribosomal RNA
Rfam family: Bacterial small subunit ribosomal RNA
Source: RNAcentral